This 359-nucleotide ribosomal RNA is filed under the name uncultured bacterium. Its description in RNAcentral is "bacterial SSU rRNA". It matches the Rfam family "Bacterial small subunit ribosomal RNA", at positions 8 to 334 of the family's 1533-position model. The record is from RNAcentral.
AGAGUUUGAUUCUGGCUCAGGAUGAACGCUGGCGGCAUGCCUAAGACAUGCAAGUCGAACGAGGAGACCUUUGGAAAAUGGAGUGCUUGCACAAAGUUAGAAGAAGAUUAUCUCCUAGUGGCAGACGGGUGAGUAACACGUGGGUAACCUACCUUUAAGCUGGGGAUAACAGUUGGAAACGACUGCUAAUACCGAAUAAGAGGUACGUAAAAAUAUCAUUGAAAGGAGCCUUUAAAGCUUCACUUAAAGAUGGGCCUGCGGCGUAUUAACUAGUUGGUGAGGUAAUGGCUCACCAAGGUAACGAUGCGUAGCCGAACUGAGAGGUUGAACGGCCACACUGGGACUGAGACACGGCCCAG